ACACUUUGUGGGUUCUAUUUAGAUGAUCAUUCAACACAAGGGAAAGACUUGAGUUACUUCCAACAGAGGUCUAUUCGUCAGUCAAAACGUUAAUCUUGAAGGAGCAAAGGUUUGUUCAUGAGCUAUCAUGCUCGCUAGGCGAAGCCCACGUGUUUUGAAAAAAAAACGAAAAAAAAAAUGAAAAAAAAAACGAAAAAUAAAUAA
RNAcentral lists this long non-coding RNA (204 nucleotides) under Lathyrus oleraceus (garden pea). Its description in RNAcentral is "Pisum sativum (pea) long non-coding RNA (PSAT_LNC010149)". The record is from RNAcentral. Lineage: Eukaryota; Viridiplantae; Streptophyta; Magnoliopsida; Fabales; Fabaceae.